This is a long non-coding RNA of Bufo bufo (common toad), 815 nucleotides long. RefSeq lists it as uncharacterized. The record is from RefSeq and is a predicted model, not a curated record. The transcript is spliced from 4 exons. NCBI's taxonomy places the organism in Eukaryota, Metazoa, Chordata, Amphibia, Anura, Bufonidae.
UUGAUUCACCUGCGCUGCCUGUGUGCACCGUUCUCCCUCACUCAGCUGCUGCCGCUCCUCCGCCGGGCCCUCCCUCAAGCUACACACGCCCACAAUACGCCCACAAUACACCCACAUGACCACGGCCGCGUGACCCGUCCCUCCGCUCACGCGAGAUGAGAGUCUCUGACGUCAGGACUCAGGAGAGUAGACUCUAGGCGCACAGGCGCAGCAAAAGCCCGCCAGAGCAGAUUUAAAAGAGGCAGAGCCCCGCCCCCCAGCAGUGUGUGCCUGUGCCAGCACAGAUUAGAGGGCUCAGGGCGCGAUUCUCCGAGGAAGAAAGAAGAGGACCGACCGACCGACCAACCGACCGACAGACAGACACCAAGGGCGAGCGCUGGGCAUUGCAGCAGAAGUACUGCACUCCAGGACCAUCUUCUCCUGCCUCACUGCCUGCUGGACUGGUCUAUAGACUGUGAGAACAAAUUGGUUCCUUUCUACUUGAUGCCUCCUCGUUGGACCUGGCUGGUUAAUUUUGAUGUUUCAUUUGGAUUUCUGUUCUGGUUGAGAAGCACAACUCGUGCUUAUUCACAAUCAAAUUUUGUGAGAACAAAUUGGUUCCUUUCUACUUGAUGCCUCCUCGUUGGACCUGGCUGGUUAAUUUUGAUGUUUUAUUUGGAUUUCUGUUCUUGUUAAGAAGCACAACUCGUACUUAUUCACAAUCAAAUUUCAGUGAUUUACCAAGAUAUGGGUCAAGAAGCUUUAUGCCUUAUGUGGAGAAUCUUUGUUCUGGAACGCUUUUAACAUUUUUUUCUAUAUUUUAUAUGGUAACAUUA